Molecule: RNA transcript, 2335 nt
Organism: Zingiber officinale
Lineage: Eukaryota; Viridiplantae; Streptophyta; Magnoliopsida; Zingiberales; Zingiberaceae
Gene name: biotin carboxyl carrier protein of acetyl-CoA carboxylase 2, chloroplastic-like
Exons: 6
Source: RefSeq, a predicted model, not a curated record
GUGAUAGACCCAUGUGUUCCUAUCAAUUUCUGUGACCGUGGGACAUAAGUGCUAACAUUUUGAUCAGGAGUCGGGAAGUUUUGUCAUUAUUUUCGUUUUUCAAUGGGUGUUUCGAACUCUAUCUCUCGUUUGUUAAUGCCUGGUGGUUGUUUUCUUUGUUUUGACUCAUGGAUCUGAACGACGUUAGAUUUAAUUGGAUUUCGUCUGCCAUUGGAACCAAACUGGAACUUUGUGUUUUCCUUUCUUGUUUUCUUUUUGGGUACCACACACAUGAUGUUACUAUGGUUCCAUAUUUUAGGGAUUGAGGUUCCACCGACACCUUCCUAUCAUUGCGAACGCUAAAUUGAAUGAGGUAAGAUGGAUCUUGCAUUGUUCAGGUUGUUGGUGGAUCCGCCUACGAUGCCACAUCUUCUGAGACCAAGACAGAAAUGUCAGCGUCCAAAGGGAAGAAUGAGAAAGACGAAAAGCUUUCACCACCUUCAGCUCCGUCGUCGUCAGACAAAGCCAUAGCUGAAUUUAUGUCUCAAGCUUGUAGAUUCAAGAGAUAUUGCUGAACUGCAGCUAAAGCAAAAUAGUUGUGAACUUAUCAUUCGCAAAAAGGAGGCUUUGCCUCAGUCUCAAACUGCUCAAGUUGUUAUGAUGCAAACCCUGCGCCUGUUUCAUCAGCAGUUCCACAAGCACCUCCUGUCACUGCCCUACCUUCACCUUCUCCAGCAUCAUCUGGACCUCCUGCUACCCCUAAGGAUUUAAAGACGUCACAUUCUCCUCUUAAGUCCUAUGACAGGAACAUUUUACAGAAACCCUGGUCCAGGAUUGCCUCCUUUUGUUAAGCCUGGUGAUAAAGUCAACAAGGGACAAGUCCUCUGCAUUAUUGAAGCUAUGAAACUGAUGAAUGAAAUUGAAGCUGAUCAGGCUGGAACAGUCGUUGAGAUAUUAUUGAUUGAAGAUGGCAAACCUGUGGGCGUAGGACAGUCAAUUUUUAUGAUUGUGCCUUAAAGCUAUCUACCUAGCUAUGGUAGUUCAAAUCAGAUACUCUUUCUUUUAGUUUCUUCCUGGGCUGGUUCUGGUUACAUAGACGGUGAUAGCUUGAUCUGACUACUUUUAGUCACAAAAUUGUUUUUUCUCCUUCAAAGUGCGCAAUGAAUAAUUCGUAUUAUCCUAGUAUCAAGCUCACAUCUCAUUAACAUUUUAGGACACUGAAAUUGAGUCUUUUUUCCUCCUCUUUAAAUCUCUCCCCCCUCUUUCUUUCUCUCUCUCUCUCUCUCUCUUAAAUAUUCUGUAUUAAUCAUUUGAAUGUUAAUCUGAGUUUAAUUGCUUGAGAUUCUUUGAAGUUGAUUGCUUUUUUUAAAAAAAAUAUUUUUCUUUGUUUAACUGGGCAGGCAUCCUCUUUGUGUAGAUGUUAUCCAGCAAAAGCAGUACAUGUUUGAGAAUAAUCAGGAUGUGCUCAUAAACCAAAGUAUUUAGGAAAAAAAGUCUAUUAAUUGCAGCAAACAGUCCACAAAGGAGCAACCUAGGGUUAUAAUUAAGAUAGUUACCAAGUUGUUAUAUCAUGAGUACAGGGAUCCCACUUUUGCCCACUUUGGGUGGGCUAAAGUGUUGGCGGUUAGGGCUCAGCUCGCAAUGUGCUAAAUGAGAGAUUAAGGCUAAUAAAUCUCCCUGGUCUCCUCCACUUCCUGGUUCUUCCUACGUUUCUUAUUCCUCAUGGCUUUCUAUGUGAUUUCCUUUCGGAGAGAUUGGUGAGUUUGGCUUGUCAGACUAAUAUUUCUCACUGGUUGCAUGCUAUGAGUACAGGUUGGAGAAAUGACCUGAAUCUGAGUAACAUAACUGUGAUUUAAUUUCUCAAUUAGAAGUGUGAUUUUUUUUCCAUUAAAAGGGCAGCCCGGUGUACGAAGUUCUUGUCAUGCGGGGUCCCGGGGAAGGAUCCAUUGUACACGGUCUUAUCCUACUUUUUAUAAGAGGCUGUUUUCAGGAUUCGAACCCGUGAUCUUUUGAUCACAAAGUAACAAUUUUACCUUUUUUCCAUUAUUUGAUAUUAUUAAUUUUAGUGUUUUGAUCAAAAUUAAUCCUACUUUGAUAAUAAUUUCCUUGAAUACAAAGAAUUUGGAGAAAGAAUGCCAUCGGAUAUCUACGCACUCAUGCCAGCGUUUAUGUUGUGAUUCUUGUUUAGAGAGUGACAUAUUUGUUACAUUGGAGUAAGGGAUUAAUUCUCGAUAGACGUAUACUCUUGGCAAAAAAAAAAUUUCUCACCUUCUAGUCAAUUUGUAAAGGAUAUCUAGGAUAACUAUAAUCUUCUUUUACUAGAAUGUUUGUUAUGAUUCUCCAAGAAAUCUGUUUA